GACGAACGCUGGCGGCGUGCUUAACACAUGCAAGUCGAACGGGCCUUGUCCCCUUUUUUUUUGGGGGUGGGGUUAGUGGCGAACGGGUGAGUAACACGUGAGUAACCUGCCCCUCCCUUCUGGAUAACCGCUUGAAAGGGUGGCUAAUACGGGGUGUUCUGGCCUGCUCGCAUGGGUGGGUUUGGAAAGAUUCGACCGGUUUUGGUUGUGUUGGUGGGGGAUGGGCUCGCGGCCUAUCAGCUUGUUGGUGGGGUGGUGGCCUGCCAAGGCUUUGACGGGUAGCCGGCCUGAGAGGGUGGGCGGUCACACUGGGACUGAGACACGGCCCAGACUCCUACGGGAGGCAGCAGUGGGGAAUAUUGCACAAUGGGCGCAAGCCUGAUGCAGCGACGCCGCGUGAGAGAUGGAGGCCUUCGGGUUGUGAACCUCUUUCGCCAGUGAAGAAGGUCCUGCUCUUUGUGGUGGGGUUGACGGUAGCUGGGUUAAUGAAGCGCCGGCUAACUACGUG
RNAcentral lists this ribosomal RNA (508 nucleotides) under uncultured bacterium. RNAcentral's name for it is "partial 16S ribosomal RNA". It matches the Rfam family "Bacterial small subunit ribosomal RNA", at positions 28 to 507 of the family's 1533-position model. The record is from RNAcentral.